UCCCAAAUGCAAAUCCUCUGAAGAGACCACACAAACAAACAAACAAACAACCCCGUACAUUUGUCUAAGAAAGUGAAAAGCUGGCGGGCAAAAACAUGUAUGUUGAAGUUAAAGACAAACGAGAAAGUGGGAGACGAGACUUUUCCGCCUGGGACACACGAAAGACCCGGGGCUAACUUCCCUAAUAAACGAAGAAUUUGGAAACCGAUACGGUAAAGACCAAAUCGCGCCUGAAAAAUGGGCAAAAAGGGAGGACACUGGCAAUUCACAGAAAAGCACAAAUGGCUGACAGACCUACGGGACAGAACUCUUGACCCGACUUCCAAAGACCGAAAAACUGAGAGCGCAGACCUGCGCCGUUCCGCAGGCGCUCUCCUCAAGCGGCCGCGCGCGCCGCCGCCGGGCCGGUCCACCGCCGUCCAGCCAGACCGUUGACGUGCGGGGCGCACCGCCGCCUGCGGAGACCUGUGUGCGGCGGGAAAUGCGGGCUGCGCCUCGCGGGACAGACCACCACCGAGGACUCGGCCGUCAGUCACACCGACAGUCAGGCCGAAGCAUGCAGACACGACCCGUCACCGGGCACGCAGGAGACAGGCUGCCACUGGCUUUUGCUGGAAGAUGUUGACAUGCUGCAGCCCCAGAUUCCAGACUCCAGAUAAAUCUUCAGUUCCCCGAUAAUCAUCUCCCUGCCGGCUUAUCCCCACCAAGCGCUGCUCCACGGGGUCAGCUGAAAUGCAUAUUGUACACUAAUGAGACAAUGGGAAUUCACUAAACUUACUGUGAUCAUCGCUUUGCGAUGUUUGUGAGUCAAACCAUGAUGCUGUGUGCCUUACACCUACAUGCUGGAUGCCAGAGAUAUCUCAGUGAAACUGGAAGGAAAAAAAGUAAAGAAAAGGAGAGUCCUCCAUGAAAUAAGUGGAGACAUGGCCUAGGAGAAGACUCCUUCCGUUGUCCACAAAGACGUGGGUUUUGACAUCUAUAGAUGUAGAAUUCCAUCCAGUCACACAUGUGGUG
Long non-coding RNA from Cervus elaphus (red deer), 1014 nucleotides. RefSeq lists it as uncharacterized. The transcript is spliced from 3 exons. The record is from RefSeq and is a predicted model, not a curated record. Lineage: Eukaryota; Metazoa; Chordata; Mammalia; Artiodactyla; Cervidae.